Molecule: small nuclear RNA, 193 nt
Filed under: Salmo trutta (river trout)
Lineage: Eukaryota; Metazoa; Chordata; Actinopteri; Salmoniformes; Salmonidae
Description: U2 spliceosomal RNA (ENSSTUG00000041531.1)
Rfam family: U2 spliceosomal RNA
About the family: U2 is a small nuclear RNA (snRNA) component of the spliceosome (involved in pre-mRNA splicing). Complementary binding between U2 snRNA (in an area lying towards the 5' end but 3' to hairpin I) and the branchpoint sequence (BPS) of the intron results the bulging out of an unpaired adenosine, on the BPS, which initiates a nucleophilic attack at the intronic 5' splice site, thus starting the first of two transesterification reactions that mediate splicing.
Source: Rfam by way of RNAcentral
UUAUCGUUUAGGCCUUUUGGUCAGAUCAAGUGUGAUAUUGUCUUAUCAGUUUUAAUAUCUGAUAUGUCCCCAUGGGGGGGACUACAUAUUAUAAAUUGGAUUUUUCGAACAGGGAGUCGGAAAUGGGGCUUGCUCCAUCCGCUCCACGCAUCGACCGGGUAUUGCAGUACCUCCGGGGAACGGUUUGUUGCAA